UAUAUAAACCUCAUCAAAAUUAUUGAAUAGAGACACACAAAACAAACAUUUCUUGAUAUCUUCUCUACCAACUUAAUUAGUUUUCAUCAUUUUAGUGCAGCAAUGGAUUGUGUAAAACUUGUACUAAUUUUUAUGCUAUAUCCCUUUCUCUGUCAACCUGCUUUCUCCUCAUCCUUACCUCAUUUGUGUCCCAAAGAUCAAGCUUUUGCUCUUCUACAAUUUAAGCACAUGUUUACCUAUAAUCCUAAUGCUUCUGAUUAUUGUUACAAUCCAACAACUCAUUCAUGGAACAAGACCACAGAUUGUUGCUCAUGGAAUGGAGUUUAUUGUGACGAGGUGAUGGGACAAGUGAUUGUGCUUGACCUCUCUUGCUGUGGACUUCAAGGAAAAUUUCAUACCAACAGUAGCCUGUUUCAGCUCUCCAGUCUUAAACGGCUGGAUUUAUCUUAUAAUGAUUUUUCCGGGUCUCUCAUUUCACCUAAAUUCAGUGAGUUAUCUAGCUUGAUGCAUCUUGAUUUGUCGCGUUCAAGUUUUACAGGUAUAAUCCCAGCAGAAAUCUCUCACCUUUCUAAAUUACAAGUUCUUCGUAUAUGGACUGUUGACCUGUAUAGGCUUAGACUCGGGCCUUACAAUUUUGAACUGCUCCUUAAGAACUUGACCCAAUUAAGAUAUCUUGAACUUGACUCUGUGAACAUCUCUUCCACCAUUCCUCUGAAUUUCUCUUCUUAUUUAACAACUCUACUCCUUCCAGCCACACAGUUACACGGGGUAUUGCCCAAAAGAGUUUUCCACCUUUCCAACUUGGAAGACCUUACUUUAUCAUCCAAUUCCAUAACUGGUCCAAUUCCAUCCAACGUAAGUGGACUCCAAAACCUAAAAUUACUCGCCUUGUCAUCAAACUACUUGAAUGGGACUAUACCUUCCUGGAUAUUCUCCCUCCCAUCACUAUCUACUUUAGACUUGAGCAAUAACUCUUUCAGUGGAAAAAUUCAGGAGUUCAAGUACAAAACAUUGGAAUUCGUUUCUGUAAAACAAAAUCAACUGCAAGGUCCUAUUCCAAAGUCACUCCUAAACCAGCAGGAACUACAAAUUCUUAUUCUUUCCCAAAAUAAUUUCAGCGGACAGAUUGGUUCAACCGUCUGCAAUCUGAAAACACUGGAACUGCUAGAUUUUGGAAGUAAUCAUUUGAACGGAGCAAUCCCACAAUGUUUAGGUGAGAUGAGUCGACUUAUAGUUUUGGGUUUAAAGAACAAUAGCCUCAGUGGAACAAUUAAUACAACUUUUAAUACUGAAAACCAACUCCGCAUCAUUAACUUGUACGGGAAUAAGCUGAAGGGGAAAGUUCCGCCAUCGUUGAUCAAUUGCAGAUAUUUGGAAUUCCUUGAUUUAGGCAACAAUGAGUUGAAUGACACAUUUCCAAGUUGGUUGGGAGGCCUUCCUCAUUUGACGAUUUUAAGUUUGAGAUCAAAUAAGUUGCACGGCCCUAUAAGUGAUUCAAGGACACACAACUUGUUUGCUAAAAUUCGAGUAAUAGAUCUCUCAUCCAAUGGAUUUAGUGGAAAUUUACCAGUGAGCUUUUUUGAGAAUUUUCAAGCCAUGAAAAUCAAUGGUGAGAACCGCGGAACCCAAGAGUAUGUUGCAGAUCCAUAUUCUGGUAAUUACGCGAAUACUUUGAUAGUUACAACAAAGGGACUGGAUCUAGAACUUCCUCGAGUUUUGACUACAUACAUGAUUAUCGAUCUCUCAAGGAACAGAUUUGAAGGUUAUCUUCCAAGCAUUAUUGGAGAUCUCGUUGGACUUCGUGCGCUGAACCUAUCUCAUAAUGGCUUGGAAGGUGUUAUACCAGCAUCGUUGCAACAUUUAUCUGUACUUGAAUCGUUGGAUCUCUCCUCCAACAAAAUAGGAGGUGAAAUUCCACAACAACUUGCAUCCCUCACAUUUCUUGCAGUCUUAAAUCUAUCUCAUAAUCAUCUUCUUGGAUGCAUUCCCAAAGGAAAACAAUUUGAUACAUUUGAUAACAGUUCAUACCAAGGGAAUGAUGGGUUACGUGGAUUGCCACUCUCAAAAGAUUGUGGUGGUGAUGAUGGGGUACCACAAGCGACAACUCCAGUUGAGCUAGAUGAUGAAGAAGCAGAAGAAGGAGAUUUGAUCAGUUGGCAAGCGGUUCUCAUGGGUUUCGGUUGUGGUCUGGUUAUUGGACUGUCCAUAAUAUACAUAAUGUUGUCAACUCACUAUUCAAUAUGGGUUUCGAGGAUGGUUGUAAAAUUUGAGCACAUAAUUAUUACGAGAAUGAAAAGAUAUUAGUGUGUAACUUGCAGGAUUCAACUCUAAUAUGCCGCCGGUGAUGCAAAUAUAAGCCUUCAUCUUUCAUAGAUUUUGUUCUUGUACAGAUAUUAGCCCAACUUCUGAUACAAGUCAAAUGGCCACCGUAAUUUUUGAAGACAUGAUUGGAGGUCAUCAUUUAAAGGCUCAAGACUUGUCACCCCGAGGGCACAAGAAUAUGCAAGGAUGACCCAUUUUGAGAAAAAACAA
Molecule: RNA transcript, 2532 nt
Organism: Capsicum annuum
Lineage: Eukaryota; Viridiplantae; Streptophyta; Magnoliopsida; Solanales; Solanaceae
Gene name: receptor-like protein Cf-9
Exons: 3
Source: RefSeq, a predicted model, not a curated record